AACGAACGCUGGCGGCAUGCCUAACACAUGCAAGUCGAACGAGACCUUCGGGUCUAGUGGCGCACGGGUGCGUAACGCGUGGGAACCUGCCCUUAGGUUCGGAAUAACUCCCCGAAAGGGGUGCUAAUACCGGAUAAUGUCUUCGGACCAAAGAUUUAUCGCCUUUGGAUGGGCCCGCGUUGGAUUAGCUAGUUGGUAUGGUAAAAGCCUACCAAGGCGACGAUCCAUAGCUGGUCUGAGAGGAUGAUCAGCCACACUGGGACUGAGACACGGCCCAGACUCCUACGGGAGGAAGCAGUGGGGAAUAUUGGACAAUGGGCGAAAGCCUGAUCCAGCAAGGCCGCGUGAGUGAUGAAGGCCUUAGGGUUGUAAAGCUCUUUUACCCGGGAUGAUAAUGACAGUACCGGGAGAAUAAGCUCCGGCUAACUCCGU
RNAcentral lists this ribosomal RNA (432 nucleotides) under uncultured bacterium. RNAcentral describes it as "partial 16S ribosomal RNA". It matches the Rfam family "Bacterial small subunit ribosomal RNA", at positions 29 to 506 of the family's 1533-position model. The record is from RNAcentral.